GACGAACGCUGGCGGCGUGCUUAACACAUGCAAGUCGAACGGAAAGGCCCUGCUUGCGGGGUACUCGAGUGGCGAACGGGUGAGUAACACGUGGGUGAUCUGCCCUGCACUUCGGGAUAAGCCUGGGAAACUGGGUCUAAUACCGGAUAGGAGCCAUUUUUAGUGUGAUGGUUGGAAAGUUUUUUCGGUGUAGGAUGAGCUCGCGGCCUAUCAGCUUGUUGGUGGGGUAAUGGCCUACCAAGGCGGCGACGGGUAGCCGGCCUGAGAGGGUGGACGGCCACAUUGGGACUGAGAUACGGCCCAGACUCCUACGGGAGGCAGCAGUGGGGAAUAUUGCACAAUGGGCGCAAGCCUGAUGCAGCGACGCCGCGUGGGGGAUGACGGCCUUCGGGUUGUAAACUCCUUUCGCUAGGGACGAAGCUUUUUGUGACGGUACCUGGAUAAGAAGCACCGGCUAACUACGUG
Molecule: ribosomal RNA, 465 nt
Filed under: uncultured bacterium
Lineage: Bacteria
Description: partial 16S ribosomal RNA
Rfam family: Bacterial small subunit ribosomal RNA
Source: RNAcentral